AGCACAAGUGAUGAGUUUUGGGACUUAAUACUGAUCUGGUGAUGUCUCAUGUAAGAUCUGAUGUGU
Molecule: small nucleolar RNA, 66 nt
Organism: Laticauda laticaudata (blue-ringed sea krait)
Lineage: Eukaryota; Metazoa; Chordata; Lepidosauria; Squamata; Elapidae
Gene: SNORD82
Rfam family: Small nucleolar RNA SNORD82
About the family: snoRNA U82 or Z25 is found in both humans and mice. U82/Z25 is a member of the C/D class of snoRNA which contain C (UGAUGA) and D (CUGA) box motifs.
Source: Ensembl